CAGUCGCCGCGGUAAUACGUAGGGUGCGAGCGUUGUCCGGAAUUACUGGGCGUAAAGAGCUCGUAGGCGGUUUGUCGCGUCGUCUGUGAAAUUCUGCAGCUUAACUGUAGGCGUGCAGGCGAUACGGGCAGACUUGAGUACUACAGGGGAGACUGGAAUUCCUGGUGUAGCGGUGAAAUGCGCAGAUAUCAGGAGGAACACCGGUGGCGAAGGCGGGUCUCUGGGUAGUAACUGACGCUGAGGAGCGAAAGCGUGGGUAGCGAACAGGAUUAGAUACCCCGGUAGUCCCUGUCUCUUAUAC
Molecule: ribosomal RNA, 301 nt
Filed under: uncultured bacterium
Lineage: Bacteria
Description: partial 16S ribosomal RNA
Rfam family: Bacterial small subunit ribosomal RNA
Source: RNAcentral